GAUAUAUGCAAGAUAAAAACCUCUUACAUGUACUAUAUUGUAUACCACAUGUGGGAUUUAAUUUUCUUCCACCUUCUGAUGCAGGAAAAGGUAUUUAAGGUACCAUUGUUUUUGCACCAGAUGCAUUUUUUUACAAUAUAAAAUGUCUCUUCAGUGAUGCAAGGCUGAAGUAUUUGAAAAUCCAAAACUUAUUUAAAAAAUAACAAGUGAAACUGCGAGCUACUGCUCACUGAUGAUACCCCCGCCGCAAGUGGAUAAUAUUAAUAGUGUAAAAAUAUGCAAGUGUUCGGUAAACAGGAAGUUGUCGAGUGAUGAAUCUGAAAACGCAUCACACGGUAUAGCUGACUUAUAAAAAUCCUGAAACCAAAUUUCAGAAAUCCUUGUAUUUAGUUCCUGAGAAAAAAUGUGACGAAAAUUUUUAACUUGGUUAUCAUGUGUAAAAUCAUACAAGUGUUCGGUAAACAGGAAGUUGUCGAGUGAUGAAUCUGAAAACGCAUCACACGGUAUAGCUGUGACUUAUAUAAAUCCUGAAACCAAAUUUCAGAAAUCCUUGUAUUGUAGUUCCUGAGAAAAAUGUGACGAAAAUUUUCAACUUGGCUAUCAUGUGUAAAAUCAUACAAGUGUUCGGUAAAUAGGAAGUUGUCGAGUGAUGAAUCUGAAAACGCAUCACACGGUAUAGCUGACUUAUAUAAAUCCUGAAACCAAAUUUCAGAAAUCCUUGUAUUGUAGUUCCUGAGAAAAAUGUGACGAAAAUUUUCAACUUGGCUAUCAUGUGUAAAAUCAGACAAGUGUUCGGUAAACAGGAAGUUGUCAAGUGAUGAAUCUGAAAACACAUCACACGGUAUGGCUGACAUAUAUAAAUGUUGAUACCAAAUUACAGAAAGGGUGGAUGUGUAGUUCCUGAGAAAAAUGUG
This 914-nucleotide long non-coding RNA is filed under the name Mytilus galloprovincialis (Mediterranean mussel). Lineage: Eukaryota; Metazoa; Mollusca; Bivalvia; Mytilida; Mytilidae. The record is from RNAcentral.